UGGGGAAUAUUGGACAAUGGGGGGGAACCCUGAUCCAGCCAUGCCGCGUGUGUGAAGAAGGCCUUUUGGUUGUAAAGCACUUUAAGCGAGGAGGAGGAGCUUCAGGUUAAUACCCUGGAUGCUUGGACGUUACUCGCAGAAUAAGCACCGGCUAACUCUGUGCCAC
RNAcentral lists this ribosomal RNA (166 nucleotides) under uncultured bacterium. RNAcentral's name for it is "partial 16S rRNA". It matches the Rfam family "Bacterial small subunit ribosomal RNA", at positions 355 to 511 of the family's 1533-position model. The record is from RNAcentral.